GGGCGUGUGGUCUAGUGGUAUGAUUCUCGCUUUGGGCGACUUCCUGCCUAAACAGGAAGACAAAGCAUGCGAAAGGCCCUGGGUUCAAUUCCCAGCUCGCCCC
Molecule: transfer RNA, 103 nt
Filed under: Saccharomyces cerevisiae (brewer's yeast)
Lineage: Eukaryota; Fungi; Ascomycota; Saccharomycetes; Saccharomycetales; Saccharomycetaceae
Rfam family: tRNA
About the family: Transfer RNA (tRNA) molecules are approximately 80 nucleotides in length.
Source: RNAcentral